This 450-nucleotide ribosomal RNA is filed under the name Triticum aestivum (bread wheat). RNAcentral's name for it is "partial small subunit ribosomal RNA". The record is from RNAcentral. Lineage: Eukaryota; Viridiplantae; Streptophyta; Magnoliopsida; Poales; Poaceae.
AUGAAGAACUUGAAAGACGCGAAAACUACAAUAUAUCCCUCAACUACGAGGGAAGGUAAGGAACUGCCAUCUAGCUCUGCACUAGAUUCUCCUUCUGUUUUGAGUAAGCUUGCGACACCUAAACCUGCUACUGUUAUGAACUCUGAUAUGUCGCAUGUUAUUGAUGAUGCCACUUCUGUUAUGCAUGAUACUUAUGAUGAAACUACUUCUGUGCGUGAUAUUACUUUGCCAUUAGGUGAAUUUCUUGAUGAACAACUUGCUAGGGUUAGGGGGAAUGAAAUUAUUGAAGAUGCUAUUAUUGAUGAUAGUGAUGAUGAAAAUUCUCCCAAUGAUUAUGAAUUGCCUGUUGUUCCUGAUGGUUAUGUUAUGAAUGAAGAAGCUGCUAAAGCUAUCUUUGCUUGCAAUGAUAGAUAUGAUCUUAAGAAAUUAUUUGCUAAAUGGAAGCAGUAG